UACAAAUUAAAUCAUGUGGCAUGUCAGAUGGAGAUUACCAUGAACAAAAGAACACUGGAUAGGGAGUUCCUGAGUUAUUACGGUGGCACUUUUACUUAGCACAGUCAGGAAAGAGCUCCUGUAAAUGGUGACAAUUGAGGAAACACCUGGAGGAGGUAAAGAAGUCAGCCCAUGGAUAUCUGGGUCAGAAGCACUCCAGGCAGAGGGAUGAGCAAACACAGACACCCUGAGAAAGGAAUGCAGCUGGCAUGGUGGAGGAGUAGCCCAAAGGCCAAUGUGAGUGUGGCCCAAGCAGGGAGAAUGAAGAGACAACAGAACUGCCUGAUACCCACAAGGGACUAACGACUGAGUGAAUGAAGGGAAGAAUGAAUAAGUAAUCAACAGACAGGAUCUACCUCAACUGCUUUACUUGUACCCACUCAAUCAUCACAGCAAUACCAUAAGGUAAAUGCUACUUCUCCCAGUUUUCAGAUAAGAAACAGAAGUCCAAGCAUUUCAAGUAACUUGCUCAAGAAAAUUUACGUAUCCAGGACUCAAACCCAGGCAAUUUAAUCCUGAAGUCCUGCUUACCCUUAUCAUUACAUGUGAUUGUCCCUUCUGUCAAUUUAUCUCUGUGUUGGCAUUAACUCAGACACCUUGGACAUGGCUCAGUCUCGAUCCUUAUGCACUGAACUCCCAACACUAAACACACACACAG
RNAcentral lists this long non-coding RNA (697 nucleotides) under Homo sapiens (human). Its description in RNAcentral is "HSALNT0144606". Lineage: Eukaryota; Metazoa; Chordata; Mammalia; Primates; Hominidae. The record is from RNAcentral.